GCAAGUCUGGUGCCAGCAGCCGCGGUAAUUCCAGCUCCAAUAGCGUAUAUUAAAGUUGUUGCCGUUAAAAAGCUCGUAGUUGAACCUUGGACCUGGCUGAUCUGUCCUCCUAAUCGAGCGUACGGAUUCGGUCGGGUCUUUCCUUCUGGGGAACCCUAUGUCCUUCAUUGGGUGUAGUGGGGAACCAGGACUUUUAC
Molecule: ribosomal RNA, 197 nt
Filed under: uncultured fungus
Lineage: Eukaryota; Fungi
Description: partial 18S ribosomal RNA
Rfam family: Eukaryotic small subunit ribosomal RNA
Source: RNAcentral